This 754-nucleotide ribosomal RNA is filed under the name uncultured organism. RNAcentral describes it as "bacterial SSU rRNA". It matches the Rfam family "Bacterial small subunit ribosomal RNA", at positions 51 to 803 of the family's 1533-position model. The record is from RNAcentral.
ACACAUGCAAGCCGAGGGGUAAGUCUCUUUCGGGAGAACACGACCGGCGCACGGGUGAGUAACGCGUAUGCAACCUACCUUUGGCACGGGGACAGCCCGGGGAAACCCGGAUUAGUACCCGGUAUAGUCUGUUAUACACCUGUAUAAAAGACGAGAGCUACGGCGGCCAAAGAUGGGCAUGCGUGCCAUUAGUUAGUUGGUAGGGUAAGGGCCUACCAAGGCAUCGAUGGCUACGGGGUCUAAAAGGAUGAGCCCGCACACUGGUACUGAGACACGGACCAGACUCCUACGGGAGGCAGCAGUGAGGAAUAUCGGUCAAUGGGUGGAAGCCUGAACCAGCCAUGCCGCGUGCAGGAAGACGGCCUUAUGGGUUGUAAACUGCUUUUCUACGGGACGAACGGCUCUGACGCGUCAGGGAUUGACGGUACCGUAGGAAUAAGCAUCGGCUAACUCCGUGCCAGCAGCCGCGGUAAUACGGAGGAUGCGAGCGUUAUCCGGAUUUAUUAGGUUUAAAGGGUGCGUAGGCUGGGCAAUAAGUCAGUGGUGAAAGUCCGCGGCUCAACCGUGGGAUUGCCAUUGAAACUGUUGUUCUUGAGUACAGUCGAGGUAGGCGGAAUGUGUAAUGUAGCGGUGAAAUGCCAUAGAUAUUACCCAGAACACCGACUGCGUAGGCAGCUUACCAGCCUGGAACUGACGCUGAUGCACGAAAGCGUGGGGAGCGAACAGGAUUAGAUACCCUGGUAGUCCACGCCGU